This 274-nucleotide ribosomal RNA is filed under the name uncultured bacterium. RNAcentral's name for it is "partial 16S ribosomal RNA". It matches the Rfam family "Bacterial small subunit ribosomal RNA", at positions 523 to 796 of the family's 1533-position model. The record is from RNAcentral.
ACACGAACCGCACGAACGUUAUUCGGAAUCACUGGGCUUAAAGGGUGCGUAGGCGGUCCGGUAAGUUGGGUGUGAAAGCCCUCGGCUCAACCGAGGAAUUGCGCCCAAAACUACCGGACUUGAGGAAGACAGAGGUGAGCGGAACUUGCGGUGGAGCGGUGAAAUGCGUUGAUAUCGCAAGGAACACCAGUGGCGAAAGCGGCUCACCGGGUCUUUUCUGACGCUGAGGCACGAAAGCUAGGGGAGCGAACGGGAUUAGAAACCCCAGUAGUCC